This 422-nucleotide ribosomal RNA is filed under the name uncultured bacterium. RNAcentral's name for it is "bacterial SSU rRNA". It matches the Rfam family "Bacterial small subunit ribosomal RNA", at positions 355 to 774 of the family's 1533-position model. The record is from RNAcentral.
UAAGGAAUAUUGGACAAUGGAGGCAACUCUGAUCCAGCCAUGCCGCGUGAAGGAAUAAGGCCCUAUGGGUUGUAAACUUCUUUUAGACGGGACAAAACCCCUUUACGUGUAAAGGGUUGAUGGUACUGUCAGAAUAAGCAUCGGCUAACUUCGUGCCAGCAGCCGCGGUAAUACGAAGGAUGCAAGCGUUAUCCGGAAUUAUUGGGUUUAAAGGGUGCGUAGGUGGGCAGAUAAGUCAGUGGUGAAAUCUUCCGGCUUAACCGGGAAACUGCCGUUGAUACUAUUUGUCUUGAAUAUUGCGGAGGUAAGCGGAAUAUGUCAUGUAGCGGUGAAAUGCUUAGAUAAGACAUAGAACACCAAUUGCGAAGGCAGCUUACUACACAAUCAUUGACACUGAGGCACGAAAGCGUGGGUAGCGAACA